Triticum urartu is the source of this 958-nucleotide long non-coding RNA. RefSeq lists it as uncharacterized. Lineage: Eukaryota; Viridiplantae; Streptophyta; Magnoliopsida; Poales; Poaceae. The record is from RefSeq and is a predicted model, not a curated record.
UCCUCUCGGAAUCCCCAGAUACAAAUCUCCGCUGCUGCACUAGCGCCUCCACGGUGGCUGAACUCGAACAACACCCUUCCCAGCCGCACCACCGCACAUCCUUCCUCUCAUGCCGCCAGCCAGCCGUACCCAUCUCCCUCCAUCCUCCCGUUCCGACGCCUCCCUGCCGUGCCAACCUACCCCUCAACCGGCCGCGCCCCCUACACUCCCACCGCGCGGCCGCAUGGUCCUCUUCUCCGACCGGAUCAUGUCGAGAUCCGUGAGUCCACGGGAACCGUGGGCGAAUCACGCGCGGCCACGGCCGUCCUACCUCCCUACAUGCUUACUGCAAACACCACCAUCCCCUUUCCUCACCUCUAGCCUCCCCUACCCCUUUCUCUCCCCAACGGCCAGAUCCAGCCCCUAAAGCCUGAUCUAGUGCAUGCAGCAAGGGUCUCGUUGAUGCAGGUCGUUGCCAUGUCGCCGCAGGGAGCCGGCGACCCUGUCGUUGGCGUGCCCAACCGCGGGGCUGCACAGAGCUGCUAUUGGGCCAUGUCGCCGGGGGCUGCGCUGUGCUGUGGCCCUGCCGCCCCUUCGGGGCCCGCAUCCGUCACCUACGUCGUCCUCACCGUCAGCUUCUCCGUUGACCACGACGGUCUAUGAGCCCCUCUCCUCACCAGGCAAUGUGGAGCAUGAGUUGAUGCGACUUGGUGGAUAAGGUUCUAUCUUCGAUGAAGCCGGUGGGGAUGGCUGGAUCUGUGUCCAGAAAUGCAUGAGAAUGACCCCCGGUGGUCGUACGGCGAGCGCUGAGCCGGGCGGCGGUGGCUGCAGAGUUUUUCCUUUUUUAUCAUGUCUGUGGCUACAAAAUUAACAUAGGGUGUUGGUAGUUUUUAGUUUCUUUUGUUUUUCUUAUAUUUGACCGAUGUAUUGUUUGGAAAUGCCUGUAAUUUCAAGUUUUCUGUGUAGCUUUUUUCUGUUA